UGUCGUUCUCGUUUGAUACCAAGAAGAUGCUUUUUUUUUUUUUCUGUCUUCGUGUAUUGCGUCUCCGGUGUAUUAAUGUCGCGUGCGUGUCUCAGGUGAUGGUUCAGAGGCGUCCAUGGUUCUAUAACGAUGAAGACGGUCGACAGGUCGGAGGUUUCGUCAAAGAGUUUGAAAACAUCACCUUCCUCACAGUCAAGGGCUCUGGUCACAUGGUUCCAUCGGAUAAACCAAUCGCUGCUUUCGCCAUGUUCACCAGUUUUAUCAAGAGACAACCCUACUGAGGGGCACCAACCUCCUGCCAGCCAAUCAGCACAGCUCGCUCCUCUGUUGCCUGGCAACCAAACCCUUGCCAGACGAAAUGAAACAGUCACUCCUCUGGUUGCCAUAUCACUUGAGUGGUUGUCAUGGAAACGAUCACUGCCAUCCGCUUCUUUAAUGUGAAACUUCUUCUGCUGUAUGUUUUUGAUUGAAGAACCAGUUCAAUAAAGUUUGAAACAAAAA
Non-coding RNA from Paralichthys olivaceus (Japanese flounder), 501 nucleotides. The record is from RefSeq and is a predicted model, not a curated record. NCBI's taxonomy places the organism in Eukaryota, Metazoa, Chordata, Actinopteri, Pleuronectiformes, Paralichthyidae.